AGAGAGGAUACGAAAAACACACAGAACUUGGAAUCACAGACACGCGUUCUUGCCUAUACGCCGUUUAAUAUUUUACUACGCAUGCGUUCGAGAUCAAGUACUUGAUGCGCGCGCAUUCUAAUCCAAGGUUCAGGAUUCACUAGCUAAUGGAGAGUCAAUUUUGGUAAUGGUAUCCCAUGGAUGGACCUGGAACUAUUACGUGGGAGGAAUUUGUGGAGAAUGCAGAGAGUUUUGUCCGAGUUUCGGAUGAAAUUUUGGACAGUUGGGAACUUCGAGGUGACAAGAAUAAACCUGCUCAGGCAUAUUUAAUCCGUCAAGUCAAAACCUUUGUACCUUUUGAUUAUUUUAUAAUCAAUCCCGAAGCUCAAUCCAUCGAUAAAUUAAACGAAGAAUUUGUCAAUAAUAUUAAGGAUCCCUUUGAAGCUCAGAACACUCAAGAAAUGCCGUUGAUUACCGAACAUCAUGUAUUAUGGUCUAUGAGCUAUAGCGUUCCAGUAUUAUAUUUCAAUGCGUGGAUUUCAGAUUUUCCUGGUAUUAAUGCAGUGACUGUCGAACAGGCUCAACAACUUGUCCCUCAAGGAACUUUAAAGUACAAUGAGUUAUCCCAGGCUAUUCACCCAAUUCUCGGUACAAUAUUUCUUCACCUUCAUCCCUGUAUGUCCAAGGAAUUACUUCAAAAUACAUCAACGAGCAAUAAUAAAUUAGUUAGCUGGCUGAGCACGGUUGCACCAGCAGCAUUGAAUUUAAAAGUUGGAAAUGAAUACUUUGAAUUGACAAGGACAAACAAAUCUGUUAUUAGCAAGGAAGUGGACGAAGAGAAAUUAAUCAAUAUCAAUAUUUGAUUAUUUUAUAAUUACGUCUAUAUUGGACGGUAAUACUUUUAUCAUGAUGAUGAAACUGUGAUCUCUGUUGUAAAUAAAAUCGAAUAAGAUAUUGACUAUGUUGAAAGAUUAAGCUUUAAUGAAGUUCAAAAAAUAAUUCAAUAACUUCUGGAAUCUAGCAUAAAUUGGAGAAUAGUUAAGAUACUUAACAGAUUAUUAAGGAAUUAAUAAGAUUAUUCACCAUAACGAUGUAUUAUGAUUAUAUGAACUGAAGAGAAGUGAAUCGAGAGUUCCAGGACAACCGCCAUCGAUGCGUUCGCAAAUGAUGAGAUUAUUGAUCCUAUGAGUGAAUGCGCGUGUCUGUUUUCUCGGAACGUGAGUACAGCAUUUAGCUUUUCAAAUGACACAGGUAUUUGGCUGAGCUGUUGAAACCUCAGUGUUUAUUCAACUCUGGAUUUCCUACAAUUACCAAAAUGGUUUGAUUAUUGAAUUUAAUUCUAUUCAACUAAAACAAUUAAAUAAUAAAUAUAACGAUAAUAAUUUUUUAUUUUUCGUUGUUAUUAUUACGUUUAUGAACAAAACUAACUGAGAAAAAUUCAAUCGUCAUUCAGAAUAUUGUUUAUGAAUCGUUUAUGCCUAGGCUACUGGAACUUUUCUUUCAUUUUAUUUGUAAAUUAAUUAAUUGUUAAAAAAGAGGACAGUAUUUUUUUAUUAAA
Molecule: unclassified non-coding RNA, 1537 nt
Filed under: Chelonus insularis
Lineage: Eukaryota; Metazoa; Arthropoda; Insecta; Hymenoptera; Braconidae
Description: ubiquitin-like-conjugating enzyme ATG10, transcript variant X1
Source: RNAcentral